UGGGGAAUUUUGGACAAUGGGCGAAAGCCUGAUCCAGCAAUGCCGCGUGUGUGAAGAAGGCCUUCGGGUUGUAAAGCACUUUUGUCCGGAAAGAAAUCCUUGGCUCUAAUACAGUCGGGGGAUGACGGUACCGGAAGAAUAAGCACCGGCUAACUACGUGCCAGCAGCCGCGGUAAUACGUAGGGUGCAAGCGUUAAUCGGAAUUACUGGGCGUAAAGCGUGCGCAGGCGGUUUGCUAAGACCGAUGUGAAAUCCCCGGGCUCAACCUGGGAACUGCAUUGGUGACUGGCAGGCUAGAGUAUGGCAGAGGGGGGUAGGAUUCCACGUGUAGCAGUGAAAUGCGUAGAGAUGUGGAGGAAUACCGAUGGCGAAGGCAGCCCCCUGGGCCAAUACUGACGCUCAUGCACGAAAGCGUGGGGAGCAAACAGGAUUAGAUACCCUGGUAGUCCACGCCCUAAAACGAUGUCAACUAGUUGUUGGGGAUUCAUUUCCUUAGUAACGUAGCUAACGCGUGAAGUUGACCGCCUGGGGAGUACGGUCGCAAGAUUAAAACUC
RNAcentral lists this ribosomal RNA (555 nucleotides) under uncultured bacterium. RNAcentral describes it as "partial 16S ribosomal RNA". It matches the Rfam family "Bacterial small subunit ribosomal RNA", at positions 355 to 902 of the family's 1533-position model. The record is from RNAcentral.